RNAcentral lists this ribosomal RNA (600 nucleotides) under uncultured Micromonospora sp. RNAcentral describes it as "bacterial SSU rRNA". It matches the Rfam family "Bacterial small subunit ribosomal RNA", at positions 1 to 615 of the family's 1533-position model. The record is from RNAcentral. Lineage: Bacteria; Bacillati; Actinomycetota; Actinomycetes; Micromonosporales; Micromonosporaceae.
CCUUUGCCCUUAGAGUUUGAUCCUGGCUCAGGACGAACGCUGGCGGCGUGCUUAACACAUGCAAGUCGAGCGGAAAGGCCCUUCGGGGUACUCGAGCGGCGAACGGGUGAGUAACACGUGAGCAACCUGCCCCAGGCUUUGGGAUAACCCCGGGAAACCGGGGCUAAUACCGGAUAUGGCCUUGCACCGCAUGGUGUUUGGUGGAAAGUUUUUCGGCUUGGGAUGGGCUCGCGGCCUAUCAGCUUGUUGGUGGGGUGAUGGCCUACCAAGGCGACGACGGGUAGCCGGCCUGAGAGGGCGGCCGGCCACACUGGGACUGAGACACGGCCCAGACUCCUACGGGAGGCAGCAGUGGGGAAUAUUGCACAAUGGGCGGAAGCCUGAUGCAGCGACGCCGCGUGAGGGAUGACGGCCUUCGGGUUGUAAACCUCUUUCAGCAGGGACAAAGCGUAAGUGACGGUACCUGCAGAAGAAGCGCCGGCCAACUACGUGCCAGCAGCCGCGGUAAGACGUAGGGCGCGAGCGUUGUCCGGAUUUAUUGGGCGUAAAGAGCUCGUAGGCGGCUUGUCGCGUCGACCGUGAAAACCUGGGGCUCAACCC